UGGGGAAUAUUGCACAAUGGGCGCAAGCCUGAUGCAGCCAUGCCGCGUGUGUGAAGAAGGCCUUCGGGUUGUAAAGCACUUUCAGCGGGGCGGAAGGCGAUAAGGUUAAUAACCUUGUCGAUUGACGUUACCCGCAGAAGAAGCACCGGCUAACUCCGUGCCAGCAGCCGCGGUAAUACGGAGGGUGCAAGCGUUAAUCGGAAUUACUGGGCGUAAAGCGCACGCAGGCGGUCUGUCAAGUCGGAUGUGAAAUCCCCGGGCUCAACCUGGGAACUGCAUUCGAAACUGGCAGGCUAGAGUCUUGUAGAUGAGGGUAGAAUUCCAGGUGUAGCGGUGAAAUGCGUAGAGAUCUGGAGGAAUACCGGUGGCGAAGGCGGCCCCCUGGACAAAGACUGACGCUCAGGUGCGAAAGCGUGGGGAGCAAACAGG
RNAcentral lists this ribosomal RNA (429 nucleotides) under Chloroflexota bacterium. RNAcentral describes it as "Chloroflexi bacterium partial 16S ribosomal RNA". It matches the Rfam family "Bacterial small subunit ribosomal RNA", at positions 355 to 776 of the family's 1533-position model. The record is from RNAcentral. Lineage: Bacteria; Bacillati; Chloroflexota.